This 985-nucleotide ribosomal RNA is filed under the name Arenariomyces triseptatus. Its description in RNAcentral is "eukaryotic LSU rRNA". It matches the Rfam family "Eukaryotic large subunit ribosomal RNA", at positions 77 to 1088 of the family's 3401-position model. The record is from RNAcentral. Lineage: Eukaryota; Fungi; Ascomycota; Sordariomycetes; Microascales; Halosphaeriaceae.
GCCCUAGUAACGGCGAGUGAAGCGGCAACAGCUCAAAUUUGAAAUCUGGCUCCCUUGCGGGGUCCGAGUUGUAAUUUGCAGAGGAUGCUUUAGGCGAGGUGCCUUCCGAGUGCCCUGGAACGUGCCGCCGGAGAGGGUGAGAGCCCCGUACGGUAGGUGACCGAGCCGCUGUAAAGCUCCCUCGAAGAGUCGAGUAGUUUGGGAAUGCUGCUCAAAUUGGGAGGUAAACUCCUUCUAAAGCUAAAUACUGGCCAGAGACCGAUAGCGCACAAGUAGAGUGAUCGAAAGAUGAAAAGCACUUUGAAAAGAGAGUUAAACAGUACGUGAAAUUGUUGAAAGGGAAGCGCUCGUGGCCAGACCUGCCACCGCCAGCUUACCCGUCCUUCUUGGGCGGUGCACUCUGGCGGCGCAGGCCAGCAUCGGUUUCCUGCAGGGGAGAAACGCGGCGGGAACGUGGCUCUUCGGAGUGUUAUAGCCCGCCGUGAUAUGCCCUGUGGGGGACCGAGGACCGCGCCUUCGGGCAAGGAUGCUGGCGUAAUGGCCACUAGCGACCCGUCUUGAAACACGGACCAAGGAGUCAUCCUAGCAUGCGAGUGUUUGGGUGUAAAACCCCCGACGCGUAAUGAAAGUGAACGGAGGUGAGAGCUUCGGCGCAUCAUCGACCGAUCCUGAUGUCUUCGGAUGGAUUUGAGUAGGAGCAUGCUGGGCUGGACCCGAAAGAAGGUGAACUAUGCUUGGAUAGGGUGAAGCCAGAGGAAACUCUGGUGGAGGCUCGCAGCGGUUCUGACGUGCAAAUCGAUCGUCAAAUCUGAGCAUGGGGGCGAAAGACUAAUCGAACCUUUUAGUAGCUGGUUUCCGCCGAAGUUUCCCUCAGGAUAGCAGUGCUGGUCUCAGUUUUAUGAGGUAAAGCGAAUGAUUAGGGACUCGGGGGCGCUUUUAAGCCUUCAUCCAUUCUCAAACUUUAAAUAUGUAAGAAGCCCUCGUU